AGUGCUGCUUCCGGUCCGUGGCGCUGCGCUCUGGCCGAGCCAGCAUGAUCCGCUGGGCUCCCGGCGCAUCUCCUGGAAGAGCCCACUCACCCUGGACGAGCUCUUCGGUAGCCUCAGAUCGUCCUUGAAGAGGAUGACUGAGACAUUAUGGGCCACGCGCUGUGUGUCUGCUCUCGGGGAACUGUCGUCAUUGACAAUAAGCGCUACCUCUUCAUCCAGAAACUGGGGGAGGGUGGGUUCAGCUAUGUGGACCUAGUGGAAGGGUUACAUGAUGGACACUUCUACGCCCUGAAGCGAAUCCUGUGUCACCGAGCAGCAGGACCGGGAGGAGGCCCAGCGAGAAGCCGACAUGCAUCACCUCUUCAGUCACCCCAACAUCCUUCACCUUGUGGCUUACUGUCUGAGGGAGCGGGGUGCUAAGCAUGAGGCCUGGCUGCUGCUACCAUUCUUCAAGAGAGGUACACUGUGGAAUGAGAUAGAAAGGCUGAAGGACAAAGGCAACUUCCUGACUGAGGAUCAAAUCCUUCGGCUGCUGCUGGGGAUCUGCAGAGGCCUAGAGGCCAUUCAUGCCAAGAGUUAUGCCCACAGAGACCUGAAGCCCACCAAUAUAUUGCUUGGAGAUGAAGGGCAGCCAGUUUUAAUGGACUUGGGUUCCAUGAAUCAAGCAUGCAUCCACGUGGAGGGCUCCCGCCAAGUCCUGACCCUGCAGGACUGGGCAGCCCAGCAGUGCACCAUCUCCUACCGAGCCCCAGAACUCUUCUCUGUGCAGAGUCACUGUGUCAUCGAUGAGCGGACUGAUGUCUGGUCCCUAGGCUGCGUGCUAUAUGCCAUGAUGUUUGGGGAAGGCCCUUAUGACAUGGUGUUCCAGAAGGGUGACAGUGUGGCCCUUGCUGUGCAGAACCAACUCAGCAUCCCACAAAGCCCCAGGCAUUCUUCAGCAUUGCGGCAGCUCCUGGCCUCGAUGAUGACCGUGGACCCACAGCAGCGUCCUCACAUUCCUCAACUCCUCAGUCAGCUGGAGGAGCCACAGCCCCCAGCUCCUGGCCAGCACACUACCCAAAUCUGAAAUAACAGUGGCAUGUUGAGAAGGUGAUCCCUCAUGCCUUAGAAAGAGGUUCCCAUCCCUCAUUGGAAUCUCCCCCCAUUCCGUCCAGGACUGCUCUCUUACACUUGGGGGUAGUGGGGUCAGGACAGUCAUCUCAGUCCUGCAUCCACUCUUCUGCUUUCUUACUUCCAAGAGCAAAACCUGGGCAAGGAGCCUUACUGAAUGGGGGUGGGUGGGGGUUGGGAAAAGGGAAACUGCUGGGAUAUGGAACAUGGCUCUGAGUGGGACUGCUGAGCUCAUAUCAUGUUCUGCCUCCAAAUCUGGGAGCAGGAGAAUGUAUAAAGAAUAAAGUGGAAACAGGUUGGUGUGGA
Molecule: RNA transcript, 1416 nt
Organism: Sapajus apella (tufted capuchin)
Lineage: Eukaryota; Metazoa; Chordata; Mammalia; Primates; Cebidae
Gene name: serine/threonine-protein kinase 16 pseudogene
Exons: 1
Source: RefSeq, a predicted model, not a curated record